This 560-nucleotide ribosomal RNA is filed under the name Pichia manshurica. RNAcentral's name for it is "eukaryotic LSU rRNA". It matches the Rfam family "Eukaryotic large subunit ribosomal RNA", at positions 62 to 648 of the family's 3401-position model. The record is from RNAcentral. RNAcentral also lists the same sequence under 2 other names. Lineage: Eukaryota; Fungi; Ascomycota; Pichiomycetes; Pichiales; Pichiaceae.
AAACCAACAGGGAUUGCCCCAGUAGCGGCGAGUGAAGCGGCAAGAGCUCAGAUUUGAAAUCGUGUUUCGGCACGAGUUGUAGAGUGUAGGCGGGAGUCUCUGUGGAGCGCGGUGUCCAAGUCCCUUGGAACAGGGUGCCUGAGAGGGUGAGAGCCCCGUAGGGUGCUGCGCGAAGCUUUUGAGGCCCUGCUGACGAGUCGAGUUGUUUGGGAAUGCAGCUCCAAGCGGGUGGUAAAUUCCAUCUAAGGCUAAAUAUUGGCGAGAGACCGAUAGCGAACAAGUACUGUGAAGGAAAGAUGAAAAGCACUUUGAAAAGAGAGUGAAACAGCACGUGAAAUUGUUGAAAGGGAAGGGUAUUGGGCUCGACAUGGGGGGUGCGCACCGCUGUCUCUUGUAGGCGGCGCUCUGGGCGCCCUCUGGGCCAGCAUCGGUUCCUGCUGCGGGAGAAGGGGCUCCGGAAAGUGGCUCUUCGGAGUGUUAUAGCCGGGGCCAGAUGCCGCGUGUGGGGACCGAGGACUGCGGCUUCUGUCUCGGAUGCUGGCAUAACGGCGCAAUACCGC